This 200-nucleotide ribosomal RNA is filed under the name uncultured bacterium. Its description in RNAcentral is "partial 16S ribosomal RNA". It matches the Rfam family "Bacterial small subunit ribosomal RNA", at positions 30 to 230 of the family's 1533-position model. The record is from RNAcentral.
AUUGAACGCUGGCGGCAUGCUUUACACAUGCAAGUCGAACGGCAGCGCGGGGGCAACCCUGGCGGCGAGUGGCGAACGGGUGAGUAAUAUAUCGGAACGUACCCAAGAGUGGGGGAUAACGUAGCGAAAGUUACGCUAAUACCGCAUACGAUCUAUGGAUGAAAGCAGGGGACCUUCGGGCCUUGUGCUCCUGGAGCGGC